Molecule: ribosomal RNA, 493 nt
Filed under: uncultured bacterium
Lineage: Bacteria
Description: partial 16S ribosomal RNA
Rfam family: Bacterial small subunit ribosomal RNA
Source: RNAcentral
GACGAACGCUGGCGGCGUGCUUAACACAUGCAAGUCGAGCGAUGAAAGCCUUAUGAACUAUUCGUAGUGAUUGGGGCCGGAUUAGCGGCGGACGGGUGAGUAACGCGCGAGCAACCUGCCUUAAACAACGGGAUAGCCUCGGGAAACCGGGAUUAAUACCGUAUGAGACCCCGCCUUCACAUGACGAAGAGGUUAAAGAUUAUCGGUUUAAGAUGGGUUCGCGUCUGAUUAGCUAGUUGGUGAGAUAAAAGCCCACCAAGGCAACGAUCAGUAGCCGGCUUGAGAGAGUGAACGGUCACAUUGGAACUGAGACACGGUCCAAACUCCUACGGGAGGCAGCAGUGGGGAAUAUUGCACAAUGGGGGAAACCUUGAUGCAGCGACGCCGCGUGAGCGAUGAAGGAAUUCGUUUCGUAAAGCUCUGUCCAAGGGGAAGAUAAUGACAGUACCCUUGGAGGAAGCCCCGGCUAAAUACGUGCCAGCCGCCGCGGUAA